This 485-nucleotide ribosomal RNA is filed under the name uncultured Streptomyces sp. Its description in RNAcentral is "bacterial SSU rRNA". It matches the Rfam family "Bacterial small subunit ribosomal RNA", at positions 9 to 507 of the family's 1533-position model. The record is from RNAcentral. Lineage: Bacteria; Bacillati; Actinomycetota; Actinomycetes; Kitasatosporales; Streptomycetaceae.
GUAGUUCGAUCCGUGCUCGAGGACGACGCUGGCGGCGUGCUUAACACAUGCAAGUCGAACGAUGAACCGCUUUCGGGCGGGGAUUAGUGGCGAACGGGUGAGUAACACGUGGGCAAUCUGCCCUGCACUCUGGGACAAGCCCUGGAAACGGGGUCUAAUACCGGAUACUCACUGCCUUGGGCAUCCAGGGUGGUGGAAAGCUCCGGCGGUGCAGGAUGAGCCCGCGGCCUAUCAGCUAGUUGGUGAGGUAAUGGCUCACCAAGGCGACGACGGGUAGCCGGCCUGAGAGGGCGACCGGCCACACUGGGACUGAGACACGGCCCAGACUCCUACGGGGGGCAGCAGUGGGGAAUAUUGCACAAUGGGCGAAAGCCUGAUGCAGCGACGCCGCGUGAGGGAUGACGGCCUUCGGGUUGUAAACCUCUUUCAGCAGGGAAGAAGCGAGAGUGACGGUACCUGCAGAAGAAGCGCCGGCUAACUACGUG